CCAGUCACAUCCCCUUAUCACUUUUCCAGCCAGCUUUGUGACUCUAACUGUUGGACGGAGAACUGAUAAGGGUAGGUGAUUGA
Molecule: microRNA precursor, 83 nt
Organism: Bison bison bison
Lineage: Eukaryota; Metazoa; Chordata; Mammalia; Artiodactyla; Bovidae
Source: Ensembl